Molecule: ribosomal RNA, 253 nt
Filed under: uncultured bacterium
Lineage: Bacteria
Description: partial 16S ribosomal RNA
Rfam family: Bacterial small subunit ribosomal RNA
Source: RNAcentral
UACAGAGGGUGCAAGCGUUGUUCGGAAUUAUUGGGCGUAAAGCGCGUGUAGGCGGCUUUGCAAGUCGGGUGUGAAAUCCCUCAGCUUAACUGAGGAAGUGCGCCCGAAACUGCCGAGCUUGAAUACCGGAGAGGAUGGCGGAAUUCCCCAAGUAGAGGUGAAAUUCGUAGAUAUGGGGAGGAACGCCGGUGGCGAAGGCGGCCAUCUGGACGGCUAUUGACGCUGAGACGCGAAAGCAUGGGGAGCAAACAGG